ACGUAGGGUGCAAGCGUUAAUCGGAAUUACUGGGCGUAAAGCGUGCGCAGGCGGCUUUGCAAGACAGAUGUGAAAUCCCCGGGCUCAACCUGGGAACUGCAUUUGUGACUGCAUGGCUAGAGUACGGUAGAGGGGGAUGGAAUUCCGCGUGUAGCAGUGAAAUGCGUAGAUAUGCGGAGGAACACCGAUGGCGAAGGCAAUCCCCUGGACCUGUACUGACGCUCAUGCACGAAAGCGUGGGGAGCAAACAGGAUUAGAUACCCUGGUAGUCCACGCCCUAAACGAUGUCAACUGGUUGUUGGACGGCUUGCUGUUCAGUAACGAAGCUAACGCGUGAAGUUGACCGCCUGGGGAGUACGGCCGCAAGGUUG
This 371-nucleotide ribosomal RNA is filed under the name uncultured bacterium. RNAcentral describes it as "bacterial SSU rRNA". It matches the Rfam family "Bacterial small subunit ribosomal RNA", at positions 525 to 896 of the family's 1533-position model. The record is from RNAcentral.